CCUACGGGUGGCAGCAGUCGAGAAUCAUUCACAAUGGGGGAAACCCUGAUGGUGCGACGCCGCGUGGGGGAAUGAAGGUCUUCGGAUUGUAAACCCCUGUCAUGUGGGAGCAAAUUAAAAAGAUAGUACCACAAGAGGAAGAGACGGCUAACUCUGUGCCAGCAGCUGCGGUAAUACAGAGGUCUCAAGCGUUGUUCGGAAUCACUGGGCGUAAAGCGUGCGUAGGCUGUUUCGUAAGUCGUGUGUGAAAGGCGGGGGCUCAACCCGCGGACGGCACAUGAUACUGCGAGACUAGAGUAAUGGAGGGGGGACCGGAAUUCUCGGUGUAGCAGUGAAAUGCGUAGAUAUCGAGAGGAACACUCGUGGCGAAGGCGGGUUCCUGGACAUUAACUGACGCUGAGGCACGAAGGCCAGGGGAGCGAAAGGGAUUAGAUACCCCUGUAGUC
This 446-nucleotide ribosomal RNA is filed under the name uncultured bacterium. RNAcentral describes it as "partial 16S ribosomal RNA". It matches the Rfam family "Bacterial small subunit ribosomal RNA", at positions 338 to 795 of the family's 1533-position model. The record is from RNAcentral.